Non-coding RNA from Elaeis guineensis (African oil palm), 1556 nucleotides. NCBI's taxonomy places the organism in Eukaryota, Viridiplantae, Streptophyta, Magnoliopsida, Arecales, Arecaceae. The record is from RefSeq and is a predicted model, not a curated record.
GAUAACAACCUUUUUCGCCUCUUUAGGCUUCGUCCGGAUCGUUCGCUGGUUUUAGCCUAGGGUUUGGGUUUUUGUUCCCCCUUCCUCCCCCGCGAACCAUGGGCAACCACCACUAGUGGAAGCGCGACAAAGCCCCGGCAAUCCCUCCGGAUGCUGCCAAUGGCGGCGGUGAAAUCGACCUCUCCCAACUGGAGGUGUUGGAGAUGUCGCAGGAUGGCGGGUGGAGCUGCUCGACCUCUGCGCCCUCAAGAAGCAGGUGCUCUCUUCGAGCGCCGCCUCCGCGACAAGGUGAAGGCCUGCAUGAAGGACUCCGAUGCGCCGGAGAAGUUGGCUGACUCCGAGGUCGAGUCCACGACGAGAUCGAGCGCCUCAAGGUCCUCGCCGGUGGACCGGAGCUCUCUACCAGGACCUUGUCGACCUCAACAUCGUCCCCUACAUCGUGCCUUCUCGGCCACGAAACAAAAGACGUCUCUGUCGAUGUCGUCGGCCUCCUUAUGGACCUUACUGGCGAGAGGACGUCCUUGAGGACAACGACGAGCCCACCCGCUUCCUCGUCGACGCCCUCGCGGAGAAUAAUGCCUUCGAGCUCCUACUCCAGAAGCUCGACCACCUGCUGAGUCCGGCCCUGACGAGGUCGCCGCCAUCCACAACACCUUCGCCACCAUCGAAAAUAUGACUGAGGUCAAGCCUGCAGUCGCGGAGCUCGUCUGCGACCGGAUCAAGCUUCUGUGGUGGCUCCUGGGGAGGAUCAAGGUUGGGAGUUUGAUGCCAACAAGCGGUAUGCCUCGGCGAUUCCUGCUGCAGGACAGCAUGGCGAACCAGAAGAAGCUAGGGCAGAUGAACGGGGUUGCUGCGGUGCUGCAGGCAGUGGCAAUGUACAAGCCGAGGGACCUGAAGAGCUCCGACGAGGAGAUGCUCGGUAACCUGGUUAUGCCGAUAGAGAACAAAGAGAGGUUGUUGAAGUCGGAGGGAGUGGAUCUGAUGAUCAUCAUAAUCAAGCAUUAGAAGUCUGCAUAUGGGUCCGCGAGCGGUUUGUGGAUGUGUUGGGGUUGAAGACGGCAUUCGCCGCUUUCAUGGAUUCUUCUGGGCAAGCAAAAUAAGAAAAAGGGCUACCAAGAGGAGUUGGAAGAGCAUCUGAUUUCACUGGUUGCACUAUGAUUUGUUUCGUAGGUGGAUGAAGAGGAGCAUUGCAAUCAAAACUGGAAGGAGUGUCAUGAUAAUAUUGGAGAUCUGGAUAGACAAGGAGCGAGCACAAGCAAAGAUCCAAAAAUUAAUUGCUGUAUUUUGAUAUCUGUUCCAGAAAGCAUCAGUCAUGGGGAUUUCUGUAGUCAAAGGAGUGCUGAAGGCAUGCAGAUAGACAAAGUUCUAUCAUGGGAUGCAUGUGGAUGUUAACAUGAUAUAUGGCUUCUGAGUUUAACAUGUUAAGGCAUAAUAGCAAAUUUUAAGCAGUUCACUUUUUCUUUUGUUGUAACUUAAUGGCAUGUUAUUUUUGAGAAGCCAGUGCAUUGUCUUAGAAUUCCUGCAUAUCAAAGAUUCAAAAUGAAGCUGCUUGCCAA